AACGAACGCUGGCGGCAGGCCUAACACAUGCAAGUCGAGCGGGGUGCUCCUUUCGGGGGGUUACCUAGCGGCGGACGGGUGAGGAACACGUGGGAACAUGCCUUUCGGUACGGAAUAGCCUCGGGAAACUGGGAGUAAUACCGUAUGUGCCCUUCGGGGGAAAGAUUUAUCGCCGAGAGAUUGGCCCGCGUUGGAUUAGCUAGUUGGUGGGGUAAGAGCCUACCAAGGCAACGAUCUAUAGCUGGUUUGAGAGGAUGAUCAGCCACACUGGGACUGAGACACGGCCCAGACUCCUACGGGAGGCAGCAGUGAGGAAUAUUGGACAAUGGGGGCAACCCUGAUCCAGCCAUGCCGCGUGAGUGAAGAAGGCCCUAGGGUUGUAAAGCUCUUUCAGAUGUGAAGAUGAUGACCGUAGCAUCAAAAGAAGCCCCGGCUAACUUCG
Molecule: ribosomal RNA, 442 nt
Filed under: uncultured Alphaproteobacteria bacterium
Lineage: Bacteria; Pseudomonadati; Pseudomonadota; Alphaproteobacteria
Description: bacterial SSU rRNA
Rfam family: Bacterial small subunit ribosomal RNA
Source: RNAcentral